Algibacter lectus is the source of this 151-nucleotide small RNA. It matches the Rfam family "Flavo-1 RNA". NCBI's taxonomy places the organism in Bacteria, Pseudomonadati, Bacteroidota, Flavobacteriia, Flavobacteriales, Flavobacteriaceae. The record is from Rfam.
CUACAGCCGUAACUCGCGUUAGGGAUUGCAACGGCAUCCUUUUUUAAAGAUUAAGAAAAUAGCAUCGGUUUAGUUUAUGUUUUAAUUUGAGGUCUGAACUUGCUUAAAGUAGCCUAAGCUAAAAAAGAUAUAGUGUAAAGCCCGACCCUUG